Molecule: long non-coding RNA, 9017 nt
Filed under: Nicotiana benthamiana
Lineage: Eukaryota; Viridiplantae; Streptophyta; Magnoliopsida; Solanales; Solanaceae
Description: long non-coding RNA (NBEN_LNC003087)
Source: RNAcentral
AUAGAUGAUCGCAUGAGGGUUUGAAACCCCGGUUUAUCGCAUCGUGACGCUAUGUUAGGGCGUGACUUGCACCCCAUUGCAGAUACGGGCUUGUAAAUGAUUUGGGAUUGUGACGUGGUCCAUCCUGAAAGCUGAACAAAUUAUUGGCGUCUGAUACGCAUAGUGUGGUGUUGAUAAUUGGGCUUAAUGCCAUGUUAGGGGCCUUGCGCCAAUCUGUAGUAACCUUCUAUGGUGAAUAUCUGUGUGAUGACAUAAUUGCAUAAUCAUUGUUCUCAGUCCUGUGUUUAAUCACUGAAAUCAAAUGCUAAGUCACUUUCCCUGAAAUUUAAUAAUUAAAUUAUAUUUGCCUUAAAAAUCGGAAAAAUUGGAAUUUAGAUUGAAUACGUUUAUGUGACUCAUAUGCAUAUUGUGGACUGAGCAUGGGUCGGGCUGCACGAUCCGCAGCGGUACAUGCAUACUAUGGACUGGCUGGUUGGCUCAGGCUGCAUGCUGCAACGGUUAUAUAUUGAAAUUGAGGCCGAGUGCCUGUUCUUAGCCGAUACAUGGGUGAUAUUGCGCUUGGGCUGAAGGAGCCCCUCCGGAGUCUGUACACACCCCAGUGAGCGCCAUCGACGUUAAAUGGAUCGGCUGCACGUUCCGCAUCGAAUUCAUGGGCAUUGCAUUGCAUUUUUAUCUGAUACUUGGUUGUUGUUGUGAUACUGUUAUGAUGUUAGCAUGUAGCUAAGUUAUAGGAUUGUUAGUUAUAGCUUUGCGUUGUGGUCUUUCGUGGAUUUCUUACUUUCAGUCAUUUUCUAUACUUAUUAUCCAUUGAGUCGGUAGUACUCACCCCUACUCCCUGCACCUUGUGUGCAGAUUCAGGUACACCGGAGGCUUAGUUGAUUCUCGUAGUCUCCAGAGACAUUUCAGAGUCGUUGAGGUAGCUCCAUGACGUUCGAAAGACCUAGGUGCUCUUCAUUAUUUCUUCAUUUUAUCAUUAUUAUAUACGUUCCCAUAUUUUGGUUUGGUAUUCAGAUACAAUUAUUAUUACUCAGUUUUAUUUAGAGGCUCUAGACUCGUGAUGUCCCAGAUUAUAUGGGUGUGCUUUUGAAUUCCGUAUUCCACUUAUAUCAUAUUAUUAAUAUUUUUGGAUUAUUAUUUUGUUAAUUUCUCGGUUCGAGACUUAAAUAUUUUUGUUGGAAGCGAUUGUUGGUCGGGCUUACCUAGCUUUAGGGUUGGGUGCCAUCACGACCGGGUUUGGGUCGUGACAAGUUGGUAUCAGAGCCUAGGUUACUAGGCCUCAGGAGUCAUGAGCCGGUUUAGUAGAGUCUUGUUUGUGGGUGUGUCAUGCACCACACUUAUAAGCAGGAGGCUACAAAACUUUUAGGAAACAUCUCACUUUCUUGAAAUUCAUAUUGUGCAGUUUGAGAACGUGAAAACUAGAAUUCUAUAUUCUAUUCUCUCGCAGAUGGAGAGAACUCGUGCUAAUGGACGUGGAGGACGACCACCAGUACCACCCGCUAGAGAUCGUAGACGCGGUCGUGGUGGUGGAUGAGGCGGACCAGCAGGGGAAGCACCUGCAGACCCACCAACUGCCUAGGUCCAGGAUCAGCCUCCAGGUGUUGAUGCUCCAGCUGAACCUAUUCAGGCACCGGCAGUGCCCAUCAUGAUUCUUGGUCUCCAGGAGGCUUUGGCCCAGAUUUUGUCCGUCUGCACUGGCGUGGCUCAAGCGGUUUCAGCCAGUACAGUAGCGGCUACUUCUCAGACCAGGGGUGGUAAUCAAGCCCUCGAUGCUCGCACUCCCGAGCAGGUUGUUCAGGGAUUACAGACACCUGGGGUAGCUCCAGUUCAGCCAGUUGCUCCAGUUCAGCCAGUUGCUCCAGUUCCGCCAGUUCAGCCAGUUACUCCAGUUCAGCCAGUUGCACCGGUUGUUCCAGUUGCGCCGGUCGCACGUGUUCCAGCUCAUGUCGUCCCAUCUAUGCCAGAUGAUGAACAACGGUGGUUGGAGAGGUUCGGUAGGCUCCAGCCUAUGACUUUUUGUGCUGCUGAGGGCGAGGAUGCCUAGGAUUUUCUCGAUAAAUGCCAGCGUAUGCGUUGCACGGGGGGUAUUCUGGAGUCCACUGGAGUGGCUUUUACCUCUUUUCAGUUCACAGGAGCUGCAUUUACUUGGUGGGAAGAGUUCGAGAGGCGUAGGCCUAUUGGGGCAGUGCCCCUCACUUGGCAGCAGUUUUCCACGGUAUUUUUGGGGAAAUAUAUGCCCAGUAUCACAGUGAGGAGCUGCGUCGUCAGUUUGAGUGGUUGACUUAGGGUGAUAUGUCAGUGACUCAGUAUGAGUUAUGGUUUACUCAGCUGGCUAGGCACGCUAUGUGGAUGAUCCCGACAGAUAGAGAGAGGAUCAGGACAUUUAUAGAUGGCCUCAACUAUCCGAUCCAUAUAUUGAUGACUAGAGAGAGGGCUACAGCAGUUACUUUUGAGGAGGUUGUUGAUGCGGCUCGUCUGAUUAAGGCAGAUCACCGCCGGGAGCGUGCGGAGAGAGAGGUUAAGAGGCCUCGAGGUUCAAGUAAUUUCAGCGGCGCUCCAUCUAGGGGCCAUUUACAGUAGGGUAGAGGUCGUUCCUUCAGACCUCCUCAGUCCGGACGCACAGAGUCCAGUGGAGCCUCUUCAGGCUGGGGCCAUCAGAGUCAACAGUAGAGUCAGCCUGCAUUGAGUGCUCUUCCAGCUUAGAGCUCUGCUCCUGCUCUUUCAGAUCAGAGUUUGCCCGCAGUGAGGGGUUCUCAUCAGUGCCGUUCUCUAACUUCAGUUCGUUGCUAUGAUUGUGGUGAGUUGGGUCACGUAAGAAAGCAGUGCCCUCAACCCCAUAGCUGGCAGCCUCAGCAGAGGGAUCAGCCCUCGUCUUCUGCACAGGUUUCUUCAGCUUCCACUAAGACAGCCAGGGGUAGAGGCCAGGAAGCCAGAGGUCGUCGCAGGCGUGAGGACCAUACUCGAGGUGGCCAGGCCCGUUUCUAUGCCCUUCCAGAUCUGAGGGAUGCUAUUACCUCGGAUACAGUUAUCAAAGGUAUUAUCUUAGUCUGCUACAGGAAUGCUUCUGUUUUAUUUAAUCCUGGAUCUACCUAGUCAUAUAUGUCCUCUUAUUUUGCUCAUCAUUUGGGUAUGACCCGUGGUUGUGUUUCCUUGUCCGUGCAUGUAUCUACCCCGGUGGGUGAUACUAUUAUUGUGGAUCAUGUCUAUCGAUCCUGUUNNNNNNNNNNNNNNNNNNNNNNNNNNNNNNNNNNNNNNNNNNNNNNNNNNNNNNNNNNNNNNNNNNNNNNNNNNNNNNNNNNNNNNNNNNNNNNNNNNNNNNNNNNNNNNNNNNNNNNNNNNNNNNNNNNNNNUUGAUCUAUUAUUAUUGGGCAUGGUGGAUUUUGAUGUAAUUUUGGGUAUGGAUUGGCUAUCUCCGUACCAUGCUAUUCUGGAUUGUCGUGAUAAGACAGUUACACUAGCUAUUCCGGGUAUUUCGAGGAUCGAGUGGCGAGGCGUGACUAACUAUGUACAUAGCAGGCUGAUUUCUUUCUUAAAAGCCCAACAGAUGGUUGGCAAGGGGUGUUUAUCAUAUUUGGCUUUCGUGAGAGAUAUGGAAGCCGAGGAUCCUAGCCUUGAUUCGAAUCCCGUUGUUAGGGAUUUUCCUGAUGUAUUUCCAGCGGACUUGCCAGGCAUGCCGCCGGACAAGGAAAGAUGUGGAAGCCGAGGCUCUUAGCCUUGAUUCGGUUCGCGUUGUUAGAAAGUUCCCUGAUGUAUUUCCAGCAGAAUUGUCGGGCAUGCCGCUGGACAGGGACAUUGACUUCGGUAUUGAUCUAGUACCGGGCACUCAGCCCAUCUCUAUUCCUCCCUAUUGUAUGGCACCAGCAGAGUUAAAAAAAUUGAAAGAACAACUUCAGGAACUCCUGGAUAAGGGGUUCAUCCGCCUGAGUAUGUCACCUUAGGGUGCACCGGUGUUAUUUGUAAAGAAUAAAGAUGGCACAAUUAGAAUGUGCAUUGACUACAAGCAACUGAAUAAGGUGACAUUGAAGAACAAGUACCCACUACCCCGUAUUGAGGAAUUAUUUGAUCAGCUACAGUGAGCGAGGGUAUUCUCUAAGAUUGACCUUUGAUCAGGCUAUCACCAGCUAAAAAUUAGGGAGUCAGACAUUAUGAAGACGGCUUUUAGGACAAAAUAUGGGCACUAUGAGUUUCUAGUGAUGUCUUUCGGGUUGACUAAUGACCCAGUUGUGUUCAUGCACUUGAUGAACAGUGUAUUUCGGCCGUAUAUUGGUUCUUUCUUGAUUGUGUUUAUUGAUGACAUUCUUGUGUAUCCGCGUAGCCAGGAGGAGCACGCACAUCACUUGAGGGUGGUCUUGCAGCGAUUGAGAGAGGAGAAGCUUUAUGCAAAAUUCUCUAAGUGUGAAUUCUGGCUUAAUACUGUGACUUUUUUGGGACACGUGGUGUCCAGUGAUGGUAUUCGGGUCGACCCAAAGAAGAUUGAGGUGGUGCAGAGUUGGCCCAGACCUUCCUCAACUACUGAGAUUCGGAGUUUCCUCGGUUUGGCGGGUUAUUACCGUAGAUUCAUUCAGGGUUUCUUAUCUAUUUUUUCGCCUUUGACGAAGUUGACUCAGAAGAAUGCUCCUUUUGUGUGGUCAGAUGAAUGCGAUGACAGCUUCCAGAAGCUCAAGUCGGCUUUGACCACAACUCCGAUAUUAGUAUUACCAUCAGCUUCAAGCUCUUACACUGUGUAUUGUGAUGCUUCAAGAGUUGGGAUCGGUUGUGUGUUGAUGCAGGAGGGUAUAUUUAUUGCGUAUGCUUCUCGUCAGCUAAAGCCUUAUGACAAGAACUAUCCAGUUCAUGACUUAGAGUUGGAUGGAAUUGUGCAUGCCUUAAAAAUUUGGAGGUAUUAUCUUUAUGAUGUAUCUUCUGAGGUAUAUACGGACCAUCGCAGUCUUCGAAAUUUGUUUAAACAGAAAGAUCUUAAUUUGAGACAGCGGAGAUGGCUGGAGUUACUCAAAGGCUAUGAUAUCACCAUUUUGUAUCAUCCCGGGAAGGCCAAUGUGGUGGCCGAUGCUUUGAGCUGGAAGGCUAUCAGCAUGAGUAAUCUGGCGUACAUUCCAGUUGGGGAGAGGCCCCUUGCGGUUGAUGUUCAGCCCUUGGCCAAUCAGAUGGUGAGAUUAGAUAUUUCUGAGCCGAGUCGGGUGUUGGCAAGUGUGAUUUCCUGGUCUUCUUUGUAUGACCGCAUCAGAUAGAGGCAGUAUGAUGACCCGUAUUUGCUUGUCCUGAAGGACAGGGUCCAGCAUGAUGAUGCCGGAGAUGUGACCAUUGGAGAUGAUGGCUUAUUGCGGAACCAAGGCUGGAUUUGCGUGCCCAAUCUGGAUGGUCUCUAGGAGUUGAUUUUAUAGAAGACUCAUAGCUCGCGGUAUUCGAUUCAUUCGGGUGCCGUGAAGACGUACUAGGAUUUGACACACCAUUACAGGUGGAGGAUAAUGAAAAAGGACAUUGUGAAUUACGUGGCUCGAUGUCUCAACUGUCAGCAAGUCAAAUACGAUCACCAAUGACCCGGUGGUGUAUUCCAGCGGAUGGAUAUUCCUGAGUGGAAAUGGAAAAAUAUUACUAUUGAUUUUGUGAUUGGUCUUCCUCAUACCUCGAAGAAGUUUGAUUCGGUUUGGGUGAUUGUGGAUAGGCUGACUAAGUUUGCGCACUUCAUUCCAGUAUAUACUACCUAUUUAGCGGAGAAGUUAACAGAGAUUUUUAUUUGGGAGAUUGUACGUUUUCAUGGGGUCUCGGUUUCCAUUGUAUCAGAUAGGGGUACCGUGUUUACUUCCUAGUUCUGGAGGACUUUUCAUCGGUAGUUGGGCACGGACUUAUAGUUGAGCACAACAUUUCACCCCUAGACCAAUGGACAAUGUGUGCGUACGAUUAAGAUAUUGGAGGACAUGUUACGUGCCUGUGCUAUUGAUUUUGGAGGUUCUUGGGCGGAAUUCUUGCCACUUGCGGAGUUUGCAUAUAAUAACAGCUAUCAAUCCAGCAUUAAGAUGGCGCUAUAUGAGGCCUUAUAUGGGAGACGGUGUAGAUCUCCGGUUGGUUGGUUUGUGCCCGGCGAGGCUAGAUUAUUGGGAACAGGUUUAGUUCAAGAUGCCUUAGAGAAGGUGAAAGUAAUCCAGGAGUGACUUCGCACGGCUCAGUCGCGUCAGAAUAGUUAUGCAGACCGGAAGAUUCGAGAUGUAUCUUAUGCAAUGGGUGAGAGAGUCUUGCUGAAGGUUUCACGACAGUGUUAGUUCAGGAUGCUUUAGAGAAGGUGAAAGUAUUCCAGGAGAGACUUCGUAUGGCUCAGUCGCGUCAGAAGAGUUAUGCAGAACGGAAGGUUCGAGAUGUAUCUUAUGCUGUGGGUGAAAAGGUCUUGUUAAAGGUUUCGCCUAUGAAAGGCAUUAUGAGGUUUGGAAAGAAAGGGAAGCUAAGUCCAAGGUUCAUUGGGCCUUUUGAAAUACUUAAGAAAUUGGGGAGGUGGCCUAUAUGCUUGCCUUGCCACGUAGCUUAUCGAGAAUCCACCCGGUGUUUCAUGUUUCUAUGCUCCGGAAGUAUGUUGGGGACCCGUCUCAUGUGUUAGACUUCAGCACGAUCCGGUUAGAUGAAGAUAUGACCUAUGAUGUGGAGCAGAUGGCUAUUUUGGGUCGUCAGGUUCGAAAGUUGAGAUCAAAGGACAUAACUUCGGUAAAGGUUCAGUGGAGAGGUCGGUCCGUGGAGGAAUCCACUUGAGAGACCGAGCAGGAGAUGCGAAGCAGAUAGCCUCACUUGUUUGAUAAUCCAGGUAUGUUUCUUGAUCCGCUCGAGGACGAGCAUUUGUAUAAGUUGGGGAGGAUGUAACGACCUGACCCGUCAUCCCGUGUAUUUCUACCCCGUUUUUCCCCUUUUAUGCAUUUAUAUGUCUCAAUAUUUGUAUUUGGAGAGUUUGGAGUAAUUCGGAUGGAGUUUUGAUAGAAAUGAAACAAUUAGUAUAUUUAAGAGAAAGUUAGUUUGGAAAGGUUAACUGAACGUUGACUUAUGAGUUAGAGGGCUCGGAAUGGAUUUCCGAUGAUUUAACUAGUUUUGGAUGAUGAUUUUUGACUUAGGAGCGAAAUCAGAAUGAAUUUAGAGACCAGUGUAGAAUUAGGCUUUAAUUGGCUAAGUUAGAAAUUUGGCGAAAUCCGGUUGAUAGGUGAUAUUUUGAUACGGGAGUCGGAAUAAAUUUCCGACAGUUGCAGUAGCUCCGUUAUGUGAUUUUGGAUAUGUGUACAGAUUUUCAGAUCAUUCGGAGGUGUUUAGGUCGGGUUUUUGAGCAAAUGCAAGUUUCGGAAGUUUUAGUUUAACUUAGCCUUGAAUCCGUGGAAAUUGGGUGAUUUUGAUGUUUAUGGUGGCGUUUUUAUGCUACGAGCAAGUUUGAAUGGAGUAUUAAGGAACAUAUGUGAUUUUGAUUGAGGUCCCGAGGUCCUCGGGAUGAAUUCGGAUGGCCAACAGAGAGUUUUAACUUGAAAAUGCGUAGCAGAAAAUGUAGCAACAGUGCAGGCCUAUUUUGGCCUUCGCGAUCGCGAAGGAAGGCUCGUGUUCGUGUAGAGUUAAUGUCCUAAAGCAUUGCGUUCGCGUACAGCAGAUCACGUUCGCGUAUUGUUAGUAGGUGAAGCAUCGCGUUUGCAUAGAAGGGCCUUGGGUCCAUGCCUGGUUUUGCUCAACGCGAACGCGUGGCCGGAUCAUGUUCGCGUAGAAGGGAUGACUCAAAGCAUCGCUAUCGCGAUGGUGUUUCCGCGUUCGAGAAGAGAAACUGGCGGGUUAGCGAAAUUUGUUCAUCGCGAACGCGAGGCUUGGACCACGUUCGCGUAGGGUUAAAUCUGGGCAACAGAAGGGUUUUAUAUGUUAUUUCAUCCGCGAACCAAACAUAUUUUCCACCAUUGUUAAGCAACCAAGAGAGCUUUUUGAGUGAUUUGAAGUGGGUUUUCAAUGGGUAUCGAUUGGAGGUAAGUCUAUUGGCUUAAAAACAUCAUUUUUAGGAAGAAUCAACCUCAAAUUUCAUGAAAUUGUGUAGAAAUUGUGAAGAACUAGGGUUUUAUUUUUAGAAACGAAUUUUGGGGAUUUGAAGGGUCAAACUUACUCCGGUUUUUGUGAACUUUAUAUAUACGGACUAGUGGCGAGACGAGAAAUCCAAAAAUAUAAUAUUCAGAAUUUUUCUGUAAGUGGGCUCGGGGCUCGGGUUUUUCCAACUUCGUGAUUUUUAAUGUUUUUAGAUAAUUUCAAUUGGUUAUGUUUAUUUGGCCUAUAAUAACCUAUUUUUUGUGGUUUUGAAUAGAUCUGGCGCUCGUAGGAGAAUAUUUGAAGGGAAAAGGCAUUACAGACCAUGCUACGACCUGUUAGAGGUGAGUAGUUUGUAUAGAUGAUGGCCUGAGGGUUUCAAACCCCGGUUUAUCACAUCGUGACGCUAUGUUAGGUCAUGAAUCGCAUCCCAUGGCAGGUGCAGGGUUGUAAAUGAUUGAGGAUUGUGACUGGUCCAUCCCGAAAGCUGAACAAAUUAUUGGCGUCUAAUACGCACAUUGUGGUAUUGAUAAUUACGCUUAAUGCCAUGUUUGGGGCCUUGUGCCGAUCAAUAGUACCCGUCUGGAGUGUAUAUCUGUGUGAUAACAUGAUUGUAUAAUCAUUGUUCUCAGUGCUAUGUUUAAUCGGUGAAAUGAAAUGCUAAGUCACUUUUUCUGAAAUUUAAUAAUUAAAUUAUAUUUGCCUUAAAAAUCAAAAAAAAAGAUUGACAUCAAGCAAGACCGAACGCGAUAGCCUGCACCCGCUGGGAACUUAAAUUGAAUCUGUUUAUGUGACUCAUAUACAUAUUGUGGACUAAGCAUGGGUUGGGCUGCACGAUCCGCAAGGAUAUAUAUUGAUAUUGUGUUUGGGCUGAAGGAGCACUUCCGGAGUCUGUACGCAAACCCAGUGAGCGCUGUCAGCGUUAAAUGGAUCGGGCUGCACGUUCCGCAGCGAAUUUAUGUGCAUUGCAUUGCAUUUUUAUCUGAUACUUGGUUGUUGUU